Molecule: long non-coding RNA, 1626 nt
Filed under: Equus caballus (horse)
Lineage: Eukaryota; Metazoa; Chordata; Mammalia; Perissodactyla; Equidae
Description: lncRNA (ENSECAG00000058621.1)
Source: RNAcentral
UUGCAAGUAGCUACAGGCCCGGGAGCCGAUCUGGGCUUGAGGCUGUGGGCUUGUGGGAAGGAAUACUGCUCUCAUUUUUCUUUGGCUUCCUCAGCAUCUCAGGAGUGGGAGUAGGGUAAGGAAGAAGGUGACUGUGUCUUGUAAGAUGAGACUUUCCCAGCAGGAUUCCUGGGUGCACAGGCCAGGUGGAUGAGCCCAGUGAGCAGACCACAAAGGAGACACCUCCUGGCCUGAGGGUUUUCUCUACUGCCAAGAAGCAGCUGAUCGCCAGCAUCCUUGACCUCAGACCUGCCACUUUUUAAGCUCCAUCAGAUCUGCUGCUUCCUGUGGUGACUGGUGGGCCUGGCUGUUGUGGGCAUGCUGUCUCUACUCAGUCAUCCUGAGCUGCUGCUGGCUGGGAGAGAGGCGCGGACUGUGGACCCGGGACUGCAGAUGCUGUCUCUGCGCACACAGGCACUUCUGUGGCCGCAGCACACUGGUGUGGAAGGCCUCUUUCUCCACCAGCUUCACUUCCUGCUGGGCUCCCCAGUCACCACCGGCAGCUCCCUCUCUCCUUCAAGCCCAGAACCAACCCAGCCUCAAGCCUUUGUUGCCAGAUUCAGGAGGCCAGAAGUCUGCAAUCAGUUUCGCUGAGCUGAAAUCAAGGUGUGGGCAGAGCCGUGCUCCCUCCAGGGCCUCUAGAGGAGGAUCCAUCUCCUGCCUCCUCCAGCGUCUGCUGGCUGCAGCGCUCCAAUGUCUGCCUUUGUCACAUCGCCACCUCUUCUGGAUCAUCUCCUGCUGCCUCCCUCUCAUACAGACACCUGGGAUUAGACCUGAUAUCUUUGGGAAGCUGUUAUCAAGUCGACCACAACAGCCUUCCCCCAAAUACACACACAGUUGUGACUGCUUAGUGCGUGAGUUGUGGGAAUCGGCCAGGAAAGGAUUUGAAGAGGAGUCAUCAUUAUCCCGGGACCAGCUAAGCCAAACUCUCCAGAGCCUCCAGGCAGGCCCACCUGGGCAUGGGGAUGUGGAGCAGGAAAGAGUGGAGGGGACAACUGUAUUUCUCCCCAAGUUGUGCAUCCCAUAGUCCUUACCCAAAGGCCUCUCUGAUGCCACCUGCCCUGCUCUCAGAUUGGGAAGCACUAGGGAGUUUGGGUAAGAGCCUGGGGGUAGGCUGAGACAAACCUGGGGGUGGACUGAGGCAUCUCCACCUACCAGCUGUGGUUCUCACAGUGUGGACUAUGGGCCGGCAGCAUCGGCAUCACUUGGGAGUUUAUGAGAAAUGCAAUUUCUCGGGCCCCACUCCAGACCUACUGAAUCACAAACUCUGUGGCGGAGCCCAGCAUUCUGUGUUUACUGAGCCCUCCGGGAGAUUCCGACGCACCCUGGAGUUUGAGAAGCACUAUUUUAGACUUUUCAUUAAGAAAUGUGGAUGGGGUGUCCCACACAGCAGAACCCGAAGGACCUCCAACUAGAAUAUACAACUAUGUACCAGGGGCUUUGGAGAGAAGAAGAAAAAGAUUGGCAGCAGAUGUUAGUCCAGGGCCAAUCUUAAAAAGAAAUAAAACAAAAUGUGGAUGCCAGGACCUACAGCAAACACACGGCAAGUGGUGGGAUUAAACGAAGUUAUGUCCACAGAGGAUUUAC